Molecule: ribosomal RNA, 440 nt
Filed under: uncultured bacterium
Lineage: Bacteria
Description: partial 16S ribosomal RNA
Rfam family: Bacterial small subunit ribosomal RNA
Source: RNAcentral
CCUACGGGAGGCAGCAGUGGGGAAUAUUGCACAAUGGGGGAAACCCUGAUGCAGCAACGCCGCGUGAGUGAGGAAGUAUUUCGGUAUGUAAAGCUCUAUCAGCAGGGAAGAAAAUGACGGUACCUGAGUAAGAAGCCCCGGCUAACUACGUGCCAGCAGCCGCGGUAAUACGUAGGGGGCAAGCGUUAUCCGGAUUUACUGGGUGUAAAGGGAGCGUAGACGGCAGUGCAAGUCUGGAGUGAAAGGCGGGGGCUCAACCCCCGGACUGCUCUGGAAACUGUACGGCUGGAGUGCAGGAGAGGUAAGUGGAAUGCCUAGUGUAGCGGUGAAAUGCGUAGAUAUUAGGAGGAACACCAGUGGCGAAGGCGGCUUACUGGACUGUAACUGACGUUGAGGCUCGAAAGCGUGGGGAGCAAACAGGAUUAGAUACCCUGGUAGUC